CCUACGGGAGGCAGCAGUGGGGAAUAUUGGGCAAUGGGCGCAAGCCUGACCCAGCAACGCCGCGUGAAGGAAGAAGGCUUUCGGGUUGUAAACUUCUUUUCUCAGGGACGAAGCAAGUGACGGUACCUGAUGAAUAAGCCACGGCUAACUACUGGCCAGGAGCCGCGGUAAUCCGGCGGUGGCAAGCGUUAUCCGGAUUUAAUGGGUGUAAAGGGCGUGUAGGCGGGACUGCAAGUCAGAUGUGAAAACCAUGGGCUCAACCUAGGGACUGCAUUUGAAACUGUAGUUCGUGAGUACAGUAGAGGCAGGCGGAAUGCAUAGUGUAGCGGUGAAAUGCGUAGAGAUCAUAAGGAACACCAGUGGCGAAGGCGGUCUGCUGGACAGCAACUGACGCUGAGGCGCGAAAGCGUGGGGAGCAAACAGGAUUAGAUACCCCUGUAGUC
This 443-nucleotide ribosomal RNA is filed under the name uncultured bacterium. RNAcentral describes it as "partial 16S ribosomal RNA". It matches the Rfam family "Bacterial small subunit ribosomal RNA", at positions 338 to 795 of the family's 1533-position model. The record is from RNAcentral.